AUACGGAGGAUCCGAGCGUUAUCCGGAUUUAUUGGGUUUAAAGGGAGCGUAGGCGGACUAUUAAGUCAGCUGUGAAAGUUUGCGGCUCAACCGUAAAAUUGCAGUUGAUACUGGUCGUCUUGAGUGCAGUAGAGGUAGGCGGAAUUCGUGGUGUAGCGGUGAAAUGCUUAGAUAUCACGAAGAACUCCGAUUGCGAAGGCAGCUUACUGGACUGUAACUGACGCUGAUGCUCGAAAGUGUGGGUAUCAAACAGGAUUAGAUACCCUGGUAGUCCACACAGUAAACGAUGAAUACUCGCUGUUUGCGAUAUACGGCAAGCGGCCAAGCGAAAGCAUUAAGUAUUCCACCUGGGGAGUACGCCAGCAACGGUGAAACUCAAAGGAAUUGACGGGG
Molecule: ribosomal RNA, 393 nt
Filed under: uncultured bacterium
Lineage: Bacteria
Description: partial 16S ribosomal RNA
Rfam family: Bacterial small subunit ribosomal RNA
Source: RNAcentral